UACAGAGGGUGCGAGCGUUAAUCGGAAUUACUGGGCGUAAAGGGCGCGUAGGCGGCUUUGCAAGUGACGGGUGAAAGCCCUCGGCUUAACCGAGGAACUGCCUGUCAGACUGUGAGGCUUGAGACCGGGAGAGGGUAGUGGAAUUCCCGGUGUAGUGGUGAAAUGCGUAGAUAUCGGGAGGAACACCAGUGGCGAAGGCGACUACCUGGCCUGUUCUUGACGCUGAGGCGCGAAAGCUAGGGGAGCAAACGGG
RNAcentral lists this ribosomal RNA (253 nucleotides) under uncultured bacterium. RNAcentral describes it as "partial 16S ribosomal RNA". It matches the Rfam family "Bacterial small subunit ribosomal RNA", at positions 524 to 776 of the family's 1533-position model. The record is from RNAcentral.